Mirounga angustirostris (Northern elephant seal) is the source of this 1525-nucleotide long non-coding RNA. RefSeq lists it as uncharacterized. The transcript is spliced from 3 exons. The record is from RefSeq and is a predicted model, not a curated record. Lineage: Eukaryota; Metazoa; Chordata; Mammalia; Carnivora; Phocidae.
GCCCAGGCUUCGCGCGGGGGGCGGGGCCUGGGGCGCGUGGUGGGGCGGCAGCGGCACGCGGCGCGGGGGCGGGGCCCGGGGACGUCACCGCCGGCGGCCCCGCCCCUUCGCGCCUCGGGUCAGCUCGCGCUCUGUGGAGGCGCCAAGAUGGCGGCGAGUAACUGCUCCGGCUUCGCGUGGGGCGCCGGCCCCCAGUACAGAAGGAUGGAAGAGUUGCACUGCCAAGCUCAGAAUCCGGCUCACCCUGGAGGCUCGGGAAAUGCCUGUCACCAGCUUCGGGAAUCCCUGCCUCAGCAACGUGGAGCAGCCCAGUGGCUCUGUCUUGAGCCAGGCUGGCCCUGAUUCAGACCUGGAGACUCUUGACUAAGAGAGAGAGAGCGCGCGAGAGAGGGAACACCAGCAGGGGGAGUGGAAGAUCGAGAAGCAGGCUUCCGGCUGAGCAGGGAGCCCCACGCGGGGCUCGAUCCCAGGACUCUGGGAUCAUGACCUGAGCUGAAGGCAGACGCUUAACGACUGAGCCACCCAGGCGCCCCAAGAGCCCAAAGAUUUAGUUUAUUAAACCCCUUUCCAGUAUGUUGGGAUGUUUUCUGCAUCUGAAAUGGGCAUUUCACAUGGAGAAGGUACAUAAGACUUUCAUAAUUUAAAAAAAUCUGCUAAAAAACACAUCAGAAUUGUAGGGCACGUGGCUAGCUCAUUCAGAAGAGCAUGUGAGUCUUGAUCUCAGUGUCGUGAGUUCAAGCCCCAUGUUGAGUGUAGAGAUUACUUAAACUUUAAAAAAAUAAAAUAUUUUUAAACAUCAGAAUUGUUACGGGUAUGAACGUAUGUCAUAUAUAUAUUGUGACUAUAAAAACUUCGAGAACCGAAGUGCCAAAUGAGAUCAUCACGGUGUGUUUACAUGUGUGUAUACACAUACAGUCAUGUCAUCUUACAAUAAAACAGAUUUGAAAAUGUCCUUCCCGAUGAAUGUCUUUAGUGACCGUAUCAGCAGUGGGUAUUGGAGUUCACUGCACGCCGUCUAAACUCUGAAUGUUCCUCAGCCCUGAGUCGUCACAGAUGCGCCUGGAAAACUGUGCCGAGGUCAGGGUGCUGGAGCUGAGUUUUCUCUCACCAGCACUGCAGCGUAGGUGAUCCUUGACGUGAGAGUUCCAGCUGCUUGGUGCUCUGCAGCAGGCUCAGUCAGGCUUAGUUUGUGCCACGUGGGGCAGUGAUACUGAGUGAACUUUCUCAGCACUGUGAUUGCAGGAAAAUCUUUUUUUCCACCCUUUUUUUUUUCUCAGACUCUAAAUGUUUUUGGUGUGGUGUGUGUGCAUGUUCCCGCUGCAUAUGACCCACUGGCAGUGGUGUGUAUCAGCUACGCUCUGCUGCAGCAGGCCCAGAACAGGUCAUUACCUGCUGGAGAUUCCUCAGACAUCCCCUUCUGAAGUGAGGGCUCCGCUCAGGGCCCGUGUGUUCUUUUUUAUUUUUAUUUUUUUUUAAGAUUUUAUUUAUUUGACAGAAUAAGCAGGGGGAGUGGCAGGCAGAGGGA